CCUACGGGUGGCAGCAGUGGGGAAUAUUGGACAAUGGGCGAAAGCCUGAUCCAGCCAUGCCGCGUGUGUGAAGAAGGCCUUCGGGUUGUAAAGCACUUUCAGUGGGGAAGAAAGCCUUGGGGCUAAUACCCUCGAGGAAGGACAUCACCCACAGAAGAAGCACCGGCUAACUCCGUGCCAGCAGCCGCGGUAAUACGGAGGGUGCGAGCGUUAAUCGGAAUUACUGGGCGUAAAGCGCGCGUAGGCGGUCUGAUAAGCCGGUUGUGAAAGCCCCGGGCUCAACCUGGGAACGGCAUCCGGAACUGUCAGGCUAGAGUGCAGGAGAGGAAGGUAGAAUUCCCGGUGUAGCGGUGAAAUGCGUAGAGAUCGGGAGGAAUACCAGUGGCGAAGGCGGCCUUCUGGACUGACACUGACGCUGAGGUGCGAAAGCGUGGGUAGCAAACAGGAUUAGAUACCCCGGUAGAC
RNAcentral lists this ribosomal RNA (465 nucleotides) under Vreelandella stevensii. RNAcentral's name for it is "partial 16S ribosomal RNA". It matches the Rfam family "Bacterial small subunit ribosomal RNA", at positions 338 to 795 of the family's 1533-position model. The record is from RNAcentral. Lineage: Bacteria; Pseudomonadati; Pseudomonadota; Gammaproteobacteria; Oceanospirillales; Halomonadaceae.